Molecule: long non-coding RNA, 1770 nt
Organism: Anopheles darlingi
Lineage: Eukaryota; Metazoa; Arthropoda; Insecta; Diptera; Culicidae
Exons: 3
Source: RefSeq, a predicted model, not a curated record
CGACAAGUUGAUGCUGCUGCUGCUGGUCUGCUGCUAAAGCUCGGAAGUGGUAGCUGCUGUGGUGGAGUGGAAGAGACGCGUCUAGGUGCGUGUGCCAGUGAAAAACCCCGUGAUAGAAACCCUCUGUGUGUGUGUUCGUGAGAAGCCCCUAGUGGAGUGUCAGUGAAAACAGUUUUUGCCCAGCUUCUUCUUCAAUGUCGAACGUGAACGCGGCGCAGCGGUUGAGGCAGCGGGAAAAACAAAGCUUGUGAAUCCACUGGCGCGCUAAUGAUGAUGAUUUGUGGUGUCGGUGUGGCUCGCAGCAGUAGUGUGCGUCGAGGCCGCUCCGUAAAAGUGCAAACCCGAGUCGAGGAGGAGAACCGUUCGAGUGGCAGCCCCAGCUCCAGUCCCUGCUUCGGCGGCUAGUGUGUGUGCGAGGGCGCGCGAGUGUGUGUGUGUCAGUGUGGUCUCGGGUACGGUCUUCCCGACACCCAAUUUGCAGUGGCAGUAUCCCCAUCUUCCAGAACCAGAACGGCCCCUCCCCGGGGGCGGACAGUAGCAGCGUCGUCGUCGUCGCCGCCGUCGUCCGGAUCGAGUGCACCUUCCGCACCUAGCCACCGUGGGUCACGUGGGAACGGGGGAAAAUGAAAACUGUCAUCGCGAAGGCCAUCGCGAUCGCCAGCAGCACCAGCGCCAGCGCUAGCGGAAGCGCCAGUACACGGUUGCACCGGAAGCGAUUGUUUGCGUCGACUGCUGUCACUGCGGCCGCCGCCGUCGUCGCUGUCAGUGUGAUUAAUCGAACGAAGCUGAAAAGUUGAAAUCGGUUCGAGUCACCGUCAUCGCCAUCAUCCGUCGUGGUCGUCGUCGUCGUCGUCGUCGUGUUCAUCGUUGUCGUCGUUGUAGCCGUUAGUCGUUAGGAUAAGACAUCCUCACAUCACAUCUUCUUGUUCUCGGUUUGCGCGCUGGAAAUUGCAGUUUACCCAAAUCGCGUGGUGGGGAGGGGAUCGCGGCCACCCAAUCGACCUAGCGUGUAGCCCGUAGUCUCAUAGCGAGUCGCGUAGAGAGAGAAGAAGAGAGAGAGAGAGAGAGCUGCCGGAUGUAAACAUCAUUAUCGCCGUGGGUAUUCCAUUAAUUGUGACAGAGAUCACGAUCACGAUCACGGAACUAGCGGGCUAGCGAACGAAUAGUAGGAAGACGCAAGGAGGCGCAUCACACACACACACAAACGGGAAGCAAAUAAACUGCAGCAUACCUUCAACGAUUGCCACAUCAUUGCUUUGAAGGAGGAUUAUUACCAUCUCGUACCAUUCCUUCCACCACCGGUUACGCAACGAAAGAGGGCCCCUGCAAGAAGUUUCGUGCACAUAGCAACAGCAGCAAGGGCAGCCCACCGGAAACGCUACUGCUGGAUGGUAUCGCAAAGCUUCCCCGUUGAUUGGUGACUGGUGUAUUUUGAGCGGCAUCAAAAUUGGCAGCAUCAAUCAUAUUUGUAAUCAAGUUCGCGUUAGUGUAAAACCGCCGUAAGGAUUAAUAAUCAACUUAGCAGUCUAACGAAACAUUCAUGCGUAGCAUAAGAACUAGUAAUACUACUACUACUACUACUACCAGUACUAAGGAUAAUAUUUGAAUUCUAUAACCACCACAAAAUCACACACUGACACACACACACACACACAUACUCACAUCAUCGGACACAGUGACAAAAUUACACUAGUACGGUAAUAAUAUGAAUAUUGCAUUUAAAGUAACACGUUCCGUGGAAGUGACUACAUAAGGUGGUGGUGGUGCUGG